GACCCAGUAGCGAAGUGCAUCGCGCCCGCAAAGCUUAUGUCUGUUAGAUAGUAUCAUACUUUCGCGGGAAUGAAUCCUGGUUCGAAUCCAGGCUGGGUCG
This is a non-coding RNA of Mycena vitilis, 100 nucleotides long. Lineage: Eukaryota; Fungi; Basidiomycota; Agaricomycetes; Agaricales; Mycenaceae. The record is from the annotation of a GenBank genome assembly.